GAUCAUGGCUCAGGACGAACGCUGGCGGCGUGCUUAACACAUGCAAGUCGAACGAGAAUCUACUGAAAGAGUUUUCGGACAAUGGAUGUAGAGGAAAGUGGCGGACGGGUGAGUAACGCGUGAGGAACCUGCCUUGAAGAGGGGGACAACAGUUGGAAACGACUGCUAAUACCGCAUGAUGCAUAGGGGUCGCAUGAUCUUUAUGCCAAAGAUUUAUCGCUUCAAGAUGGCCUCGCGUCUGAUUAGCUAGUUGGCGGGGUAACGGCCCACCAAGGCGACGAUCAGUAGCCGGACUGAGAGGUUGAACGGCCACAUUGGGACUGAGAUACGGCCCAGACUCCUACGGGAGGCAGCAGUGGGGAAUAUUGGGCAAUGGGCGCAAGCCUGACCCAGCAACGCCGCGUGAAGGAAGAAGGCUUUCGGGUUGUAAACUUCUUUUAAGAGGGAAGAGCAGAAGACGGUACCUCUAGAAUAAGCCACGGCUAACUACGUG
Molecule: ribosomal RNA, 493 nt
Filed under: uncultured bacterium
Lineage: Bacteria
Description: bacterial SSU rRNA
Rfam family: Bacterial small subunit ribosomal RNA
Source: RNAcentral